GACCAGACUCCUACGGGAGGCAGCAGUGGGGAAUAUUGCACAAUGGGGGAAACCCUGAUGCAGCGACGCCGCGUGGGUGACGAAGUAUUUCGGUAUGUAAAGCCCUAUCAGCAGGGAAGAAGAUGACAGUACCUGACUAAGAAGCCCCGGUUAACUACGUGCCAGCAGCCGCGGUAAUACGUGGGGGGCAAGCGUUAUCCGGAUUUACUGGGUGUAAAGGGAGCGUAGGUGGCAUGGCAAGCCAGAAGUGAAACCCCGGGGCUUAACCCCGCGGAUUGCUUUUGGAACUGUCAGGCUGGGGUGCAGGAGGGGCAGGCGGAAUUCCUGGUGUAGCGGUGAAAUGCGUAGAUAUCAGGAGGAACACCGGUGGCGAAGGCGGCCUGCUGGACUGUAACUGACACUGAGGCUCGAAAGCGUGGGGAGCAAACAGGAUUAGAUACCCGCGUAGC
This 449-nucleotide ribosomal RNA is filed under the name uncultured bacterium. RNAcentral's name for it is "bacterial SSU rRNA". It matches the Rfam family "Bacterial small subunit ribosomal RNA", at positions 329 to 794 of the family's 1533-position model. The record is from RNAcentral.